GACGAACGCUGGCGACGUGCUUAACACAUGCAAGUCGAACGGAAAGGCCCUGCUUUUGUGGGGUGCUCGAGUGGCGAACGGGUGAGUAACACGUGAGUAACCUGCCCUUGACUUUGGGAUAACUUCAGGAAACUGGGGCUAAUACCGGAUAGGAGCUCCUGCUGCAUGGUGGGGGUUGGAAAGUUUCGGCGGUUGGGGAUGGACUCGCGGCUUAUCAGCUUGUUGGUGGGGUAGUGGCUUACCAAGGCUUUGACGGGUAGCCGGCCUGAGAGGGUGACCGGCCACAUUGGGACUGAGAUACGGCCCAGACUCCUACGGGAGGCAGCAGUGGGGAAUAUUGCACAAUGGGCGGAAGCCUGAUGCAGCAACGCCGCGUGCGGGAUGACGGCCUUCGGGUUGUAGACCGCUUUCGCCUGUGACGAAGCGUGAGUGACGGUAAUGGGUAAAGAAGCACCGGCUAACUACGUG
This 468-nucleotide ribosomal RNA is filed under the name uncultured bacterium. RNAcentral's name for it is "partial 16S ribosomal RNA". It matches the Rfam family "Bacterial small subunit ribosomal RNA", at positions 28 to 507 of the family's 1533-position model. The record is from RNAcentral.